UUAGAAAUGUUAUCUGUAGAUAUGGAGUUGUCAGUUGUGUGGCAAAUUGCCAACCAGCCAAUGGCCUUUCGACUUCACCAAAAGACCAGUAAAUUGGCAAAUCUGAUUUUCUCAACUCCCAACGGUCACAUAUAAAUCUCUCUGUCUCUCUCUGUCUCUCUGACUUUUUUCAUCUUCCUAAAUUAAAACCAUAUUCAUAUCCAUCUCUGCAGCAAUUGAAGAGAGAGAAACGUCCAAUAGAAAUAAUGGGCAUGCAGCUGAUGAGGGCUUCUAGUUUUCAUCCCCAUCUUCUUCAUCCCAAAAGCACUUCUACCCCUCCCGCAAAAGCACUUUUUGGCUUAGAACAAGUCAACAGCAGAAGCGUAGUAAACAUCAAAAGAAGAAAUCAAUAUUAUGGGAUUGUGGCUUCAAGCAAUUUGGCUUCACCACUUUGGGACAGUUGGAGGCCUGAGAAGGGUUCGGCUGCUCCUUCUCUCAGUGAUAUUGUCUGGCCUUCUGCAGGGGCUUUUGCAGCAAUGGCGUUAUUGGGAAGGAUGGAUCAGAUAUUAGCACCAAAGGAAUUUCAAUGACAAUUGCACCAUUAGGAGCUGUUUCCGCAGUCCUCUUUGCCACUCCUGCUGCUCCUGGUGCUCGGAAGUACAAUAUGUUCAUGGCACAAAUAGGUUGUGCAGCCAUUGGGGUGCUUGCAUUUUCCACAUUUGGCCCUGGAUGGCUUGCUAGAAGCUUUGCCCUAGCUGCAUCCGUUGCCUUCAUGAUUUGCACACGCUCCACACAUCCACCUGCUGCAAGCUUGCCUAUACUCUUCAUUGAUGGAGCUAAGUUCCAUAACCUGAGUUUUUGGUAUGCUUUGUUCCCCGGCGCCGCCGGAUGCCUUCUUCUUUGUUUGAUUCAAGAGAUAGUCUUAUACUUGAAGGACAACUUCAAAUUUUGAUCAUCCGGAAGCAAACACAUGCUUUGGUACUCACAUAGUUGGAUACAUCAUACAUUCAUUCAUCUCAAGUUCAAUAUUGGAGGAAAUGCACCAAUACCAUAGAAAUGAGAAAGGAAAGCUUGGGUAUAACUAAAGGUCAGCAAGUUUUGGGUUCGACUAGCGCCGGAUCUGCCAAUGUACACGUGAAAUUAAGUCCAAGGAGCUUGUUGCCCAAGAUUUUGGUUGUAAAAUGUGAUCUAAAAUUGUUCUCGCCUAGAUGUGGUCCUAAUUUUUAAAAGUAGUGCAUUGAUGGUUCUUGGUUCUUGAA
RNA transcript from Pyrus x bretschneideri (Chinese white pear), 1238 nucleotides. RefSeq lists it as uncharacterized. The transcript has 5 exons. Lineage: Eukaryota; Viridiplantae; Streptophyta; Magnoliopsida; Rosales; Rosaceae. The record is from RefSeq and is a predicted model, not a curated record.